RNAcentral lists this ribosomal RNA (425 nucleotides) under uncultured bacterium. RNAcentral's name for it is "partial 16S ribosomal RNA". It matches the Rfam family "Bacterial small subunit ribosomal RNA", at positions 354 to 796 of the family's 1533-position model. The record is from RNAcentral.
GUGGGGAAUCUUGCGCAAUGGGCGAAAGCCUGACGCAGCCAUGCCGCGUGAAUGAUGAAGGUCUUAGGAUUGUAAAAUUCUUUCACCGGGGACGAUAAUGACGGUACCCGGAGAAGAAGCUCCGGCUAACUUCGUGCCAGCAGCCGCGGUAAUACGAAGGGGGCUAGCGUUGCUCGGAAUUACUGGGCGUAAAGGGCGCGUAGGCGGACAGCUUAGUCAGAGGUGAAAGCCCAGGGCUCAACCUUGGAAUUGCCUUUGAUACUGGCUGUCUUGAGUUUGGGAGAGGUGAGUGGAACUCCGAGUGUAGAGGUGAAAUUCGUAGAUAUAGGAAGGAACACCAGUGGCGAAGGCGACUACCUGGACUGAUACUGACACUGAGGUGCGAAAGCGUGGGGAGCAAACAGGAUUAGAAACCCCUGUAGUCC